RNAcentral lists this ribosomal RNA (627 nucleotides) under uncultured bacterium. Its description in RNAcentral is "bacterial SSU rRNA". It matches the Rfam family "Bacterial small subunit ribosomal RNA", at positions 8 to 646 of the family's 1533-position model. The record is from RNAcentral.
AGAGUUUGAUUAUGGCUCAGGAUGAACGCUGGCGGCGUGCCUAACACAUGCAAGUCGAACGGAUCCAUGCUGAAACCUAGUGAUGCAUGGAUUAGUGGCGGACGGGUGAGUAACGCGUGGAUAACCUGCCGUAUACUGGGGGAUAACACUUAGAAAUAGGUGCUAAUACCGCAUAAGCGCACAGUCUCGCAUGAGACGGUGUGAAAAACUCCGGUGGUAUACGAUGGAUCCGCGUCUGAUUAGCUUGUUGGCGGGGUAACAGCCCACCAAGGCGACGAUCAGUAGCCGGCCUGAGAGGGUGAACGGCCACAUUGGGACUGAGACACGGCCCAAACUCCUACGGGAGGCAGCAGUGGGGAAUAUUGCACAAUGGGGGAAACCCUGAUGCAGCGACGCCGCGUGAGUGAAGAAGUACCCCGGUACGUAAAGCUCUAUCAGCAGGGAAGAAAAUGACGGUACCUGACCAAGAAGCCCCGGCUAACUACGUGCCAGCAGCCGCGGUAAUACGUAGGGGGCAAGCGUUAUCCGGAUUUACUGGGUGUAAAGGGAGCGUAGACGGCGGCGCAAGUCUGGAGUGAAAUCCCGGGGCUCAACCCCGGAACUGCUUUGGAAACUGCGCGGCUCCAG